GGGUCAGUAGGCUGUUCGUGCCACCGGUACGUACUGGUCUCACUGAUUCCUCCUUCCUGAAGAACCGUAAUGCCAUUAAUUUGGUGUUGCGGGGAAACAGGACUGUUACAUUGAAAAAAUUAGAGUGUUUAAAGCAAGCUAACGCUUGAAUACAUUAUCAUGGAAUAAUGAAAUAGGACGAUCGAUCCUAUUUUGUUGGUUUCUAGGAUUGACGUAAUGAUUAAUAGGGAUAGAUCGG
This 238-nucleotide ribosomal RNA is filed under the name Glomeromycotina sp. RNAcentral's name for it is "partial small subunit ribosomal RNA". The stretch from base 40 to 238 matches the Rfam family "Eukaryotic small subunit ribosomal RNA", at positions 686 to 886 of the family's 1831-position model. Lineage: Eukaryota; Fungi; Glomeromycota. The record is from RNAcentral.